Molecule: ribosomal RNA, 486 nt
Filed under: uncultured bacterium
Lineage: Bacteria
Description: partial 16S ribosomal RNA
Rfam family: Bacterial small subunit ribosomal RNA
Source: RNAcentral
AUUGAACGCUGGCGGCAUGCCUUACACAUGCAAGUCGAACGGCAGCACGGGUGCUUGCACCUGGUGGCGAGUGGCGAACGGGUGAGUAAUACAUCGGAACAUGUCCUGUAGUGGGGGAUAGCCCGGCGAAAGCCGGAUUAAUACCGCAUACGAUCUACGGAUGAAAGCGGGGGCCCUUCGGGCCUCGCGCUAUAGGGUUGGCCGAUGGCUGAUUAGCUAGUUGGUGGGGUAAAGGCCUACCAAGGCGACGAUCAGUAGCUGGUCUGAGAGGACGACCAGCCACACUGGGACUGAGACACGGCCCAGACUCCUACGGGAGGCAGCAGUGGGGAAUUUUGGACAAUGGGCGAAAGCCUGAUCCAGCAAUGCCGCGUGUGUGAAGAAGGCCUUCGGGUUGUAAAGCACUUUUGUCCGGAAAGAAAACCUUGGCUCUAAUACAGUCGGGGGAUGACGGUACCGGAAGAAUAAGCACCGGCUAACUACGUG